Long non-coding RNA from Oreochromis niloticus (Nile tilapia), 1954 nucleotides. RefSeq lists it as uncharacterized. Lineage: Eukaryota; Metazoa; Chordata; Actinopteri; Cichliformes; Cichlidae. The transcript is spliced from 5 exons. The record is from RefSeq and is a predicted model, not a curated record.
CAGCAAAAAUGCCAGUGUUGAUUUUUCAGUGUUAGUAGAAUUCAACAGAGUUCCGAGUUAGUUCAACACUUAAUCGAGUUAAAAUAACACAUCGGGAGUUGAUUCCUGAAAAGUGUUGGUGUCGAUUUUAGUCGUUACUGCAUUUUAACACUGUGGGUGUUAAAUUAGACCACACCUUCAUUUCCUGUGGAGCUUCGCAUUUCAGAAUCUUCGGUCGCCAUUUUUUCUUGCUGCUGCGGUGGUGAUAUGCUGGUUCCUGACAAGAGAUGAAGAAAUCAAAGUCAGCUUUUCAAGACAGCCCCAAGACUCCUCGCAACCUGUGUUCAAAUGUGAGGCUGUUGUCAGGUGAUGAAUGCAAGGAAGAGGCACUCAACUGACAUGAAACAUGUCAAAGACAACAUGAAGGUGACAUUUCAACAUAGGCAAAAAGUGGUUCAAGAACCUGCCACAGCUUCUACUGUCCUGGACCUUUUCCCAAGAUUUCUGUAUACACCUGGCUUGGUUGACCAAGACUUCACAAUGCUGUUUGUUGGGGAGGAAGUGUCUGCUAAGUUCCUUGCAAAGUGGCCAACCAAGCCAAGGAUCAUCAAAGAUUGCAAAAAUCUGUUUUAGAGUACAGAAUUGGAUGAGCUGCUCAUUUCUGCACAGCGUUACUCUGACGAGGGUGUUUGGGACUGCGAGGCGGCUGCCAGCUUUUGCUGCUUCACUUGUACCUCCAACAUCUAAGGGAGGGAAGUCUUCAAAGAUUAGCACAUCAGAUGCUGCUCACCACCUAAUGAAAUUCAUCAAGGUGAGAGGUAGCACGGAGGCUUUUCUUAAGGCUGGCCCCACUCAGCCAUUCGUCCUGUGUGUUGGAGAAAGAAAGAACAUCAUCCAGAGUUUCUACAUUAUCCUAGAUCAAAAGGUCAUUCCCUGUGUGACACAGAUGGGAGUUGCAGGUUUUGACAAGGCAAAACUUUUCAAGGCACAUUUUUUAUUUGCCGUGUCCUUUGACAAGGCAUUGAACAACUUCUACACAUUCAUCCAGACCACCGUGUAUGGCAUUGAUGUUGGCAGUGUGAAGGAGAGUCCUCGGGUCAGGGAAACAAGAGGAAGUCUUCAUUGUACAGUUUAAAGAUAUCCACUAUUCAGCACUUUGACUGGAAAUGUUCAUCUCUUACAUUUGCAAGAUACACCACACAAGUUGCUCAGUGUUAUUUAGACAUUUGAAGUUCCAGCAUGGUUUGUACCCAGGAAGGUUUUUACGUUUGACCUGUGGAGAGCCUGGAUGUUCAUUUAUCUUUCGCACGUACUCUGAUUACAAGCAGCACUUACUCCGAGCACAUGGAGACUGUCUUCACUCUGAGGUCAUCAAUACUUUUGAGCCUGUACCUAACGAUGGAACCUCUGUUUCACAGCCUGUAAAUGUGGCUCAUCCCAUGACAAUUACUACACAGGUUCCAGUUGAAAAAAGGCAAAUACUGAACAUGUGCAGCUCUGUUAUUGCUCAGGUACAAUCAUCAGGAGUUCCUGAAAGUACUGUGCAGUGUUUAGUUGUUUCAUUGGAGGAACUGGUUAAUGACAUCCAUGCACAUGCAAAACAAUCUGUUGUUGACUGUUUGUCAACUGAUACCAUGAUACAGAUAUCAAGUUGGGAUGUAUGUUUGUUCUGGUGUUGAAAAUGAGAUGCCUUUGUUCAGUAAGAUUGUCAAUAUAAUUGUUAGAUUGCAAUGCUUAUCUUCUAACUUGUAAGACUUCAACAGUAUAUUUCAAUGAGCACUUAAAUGCAUUUGUUAUUGAGGAUGGAUUAGAUGUCUUUGCACUGAUCUCUGUAGAUGAUCUGGUGUACUACAGACCUUAUGAUAGGCAAUUUUCAAAUGGCACUGAUGACAAAAUGUACAUUGUCCCAUACUGUAAUUUUGUAUAACUUGUUUAUUUGUGGUGUAUCAGAAUACAAAGUAUUUUGGAACGUUAA